Molecule: non-coding RNA, 72 nt
Organism: Ameiurus melas (black bullhead)
Lineage: Eukaryota; Metazoa; Chordata; Actinopteri; Siluriformes; Ictaluridae
Source: the annotation of a GenBank genome assembly
UGCUUGAUAGUGCAGUGGUAACAUGCAGGCUUAAUAUGCUAGUGCUUGGGGUUCGAGCCUCAGCUCAAUUAA